Molecule: long non-coding RNA, 296 nt
Filed under: Lathyrus oleraceus (garden pea)
Lineage: Eukaryota; Viridiplantae; Streptophyta; Magnoliopsida; Fabales; Fabaceae
Description: Pisum sativum (pea) long non-coding RNA (PSAT_LNC005779)
Source: RNAcentral
AGGCGGAUAUGUUUGGGGUUGGCUAUCAGGAAGGCCAAGACUCGUCUGAGCAGAACAGAGGACGUCGUCCACCGUUCGCAUUUGUCAGUGCUGGAUCCAGAUCACGCCUAUACAGUGGGUGAAGAGAUUGACAGUGACCGCGAGCUGGAGUCGUGGAUAAAAUCGUGCGUACCAGGAAGCUGGAAGGCCUAAAAAAAAUCAGCACUGUCACUUAUCUGGAAGAGUAAUAUUUCUUGUUUUUCAGUUUUUAUUUGCAUGAAAGCGAUGCGUGUUGCCCGACACGUAAUGGUUCAUUG